RNAcentral lists this long non-coding RNA (2178 nucleotides) under Heterocephalus glaber (naked mole-rat). Its description in RNAcentral is "lncRNA (ENSHGLG00000042418.1)". Lineage: Eukaryota; Metazoa; Chordata; Mammalia; Rodentia; Bathyergidae. The record is from RNAcentral.
UUGGUUUUGGUGUUUUUAAUUGUUUCUGCUAAGUAAGAACACAGCAGGUCAGCUCCAGCCAAGACUGUUCUGGUGGUGAACCACUUGAGGGCAGGUCUUUGGCCUUGCAGUGACCUCCUCUGAAGCCCAAAGGUAUCUACAGGGCAGCAACAUGCCUCUGUUGUCCAAGAAUUUAAAGCCUUCUUGAUCCUUCUACGUUUUUCGCCAAGACCUUCUGAGGUCGUGGCCUCCAAGCCUGCUGUGAGACAGGCAGACACUGUGGGAAGUAUGGCUUGGGAGGGGGCCUGGGGAAGGUGACACUAUAGACUUCAACCUCUUCCGCCACAGGCUGGCUCUGCUUCAGCGAAGAUCAGUGUUGAGCCCACUCUCCAGUUUUAAAGUCAGCAGUCACCCAAAGAGCACAUGGAAGACAGCACAAAGGCAGGUUGACUGGUGAGGCUCUCUGGUCCCAGUACACCCAGGCCAGUGUCCUUCAAGAGCAGCACUGGGGUGGUCCAGGCUGUGCUGCUCAGUUGUGAGCGUGUUCAGGGCCCUCCGUCUGUCCUCUGGGCUUCACAGAGCCUCAUCUUACUGCUCUUUUGCUGUGUUUUGAUUCUACCUAUAAAGCUGUCAAUGCCCAGCCCUGGAUGCCUUUCAGAUUUCAUAUCUUCCUUAAAUUUCAUAUCUUCCUAGAUGCCUUCUGAAAUAACCUACCAGCUAAUGCAAAAAUACAGCCUAAUUCUGUGUGAAUCAGAGCAGGAGAUGAGGGAGAGGGCCGGGGGUUUAGGGAACCCUCUACACUCCCACCACAUACACCCCCCAAACUGCCUUGUCUGUGACUACCAAGCACAGUGUGCUCCUUCUGGUGGGACUGACAGCUGGCCUGGUCUGGAUGAACACCACACUGGGGGUCGGGACCCUGGACUGAACAGUCACAGUCAAGGUGCCUCAUUCCCUGACUGGAAACAUUCUAAGUAUGGAAGGGAAGGGAGCCCGAUCUGGAGCACAGGUGUGGAUCCAAAUCCCAUAACACAUUGCACACACGCCCUGUGAGGAGGUCAGGAGGGCCUCAGCACUCCAUCCCCAGGGAGCCUUUCACUAGGACCACGGCCCAAAAGGCUCAGGCUGGCACCAAGAGUAGAACAGCCACCAUAAAUCUCCCCACCUCCAGGCAGGAAGUGAGAAGUGUGAACAGAAACACUGGAGCUCGGUCUUCAUCGUCCUGAGGCUCAGGUUCUCCAGGACCAAGGUUGUCUUGAUGGCCCAAGCUUCUGGGCCAAGAUAUUACCUUAGCUGCUGGCCCCGCCUAACCCUGCUCUGGAGACAGGGCUGUCAGAGGUUGGGGUUUCCCUGACUUGGCAAAUUCUGUUUUUCAUCUCUAGCUAAUCACCAGGUCCUCAGGGGCCAGAUGCACAGCCCCAAGCUCAAACUGUCUGUGCCACAGGGCACUUCAUGCCUCCCUCUUCAGCCCCUCUGGACCUGCAGACUCUCCAGGUACAGGAACUGCCCAAAGCAUGAUGAAAAGAGGAAGGGGCCAGCUCUCACCUCGUGGGGACCACUGCUUCCCACAUCCUAGAGUGGCCAAGGGGCAGAGAGGAUGUGUCAGUUUUCUUUGCCUCCAUAUGGGCACUCCUAGCAGGCUACUCUGUACAUGGUACAGUUUCUUAAAAAGUGUCCUUGGCUACUUGAAGCAACAGAGAUGUCCACAACAGCUCUCUGACCUGCCAGUGGGCCAGGAUGAUCCCGAUCCUCUGCAGCCCCAGACCAUGUGACCCUCUCCUCCAGGUGGGAACAGGGAGGACAGACUGCAGAAAGGAGGGUCCUUUAUUAGAUAUCAUGAGCAGUCCAAAAGCACUCAGGUCAACCACAUCAUCGCGAGGAAGAAGUGCCUUCUGGUACAUGAUGCUGGAUCCAAGAGGAGGGUGGGUGUUCCAGGAACCAGAGUGCAGAUGCUGGAGGGUACUGCUUUCCUUGCCCCCUUGCCGGUGCCAUGUCACUGCCACAUGGUAGCUUGAGACCCAGAGGCCUGACCCUGAAGACAGCUGGCAGAGAGGCAAAACGACUGCUAUAAAGAAGUCUUCAGACACUCCAACAGCUCAGCAGGAUGCACACGUGCCCACAGCCACUGUGAAGCAGCCAUCACCACCUGGUAAGGAGGACACACCUCAUGGCAUCUUCAGGGUGCAGGAGGCAGGCGCU